UGAAUGUCGGCCAGCCUCUCCGCUUGGUACAAACGAAAUAUAAAGCGGUAGUUGCCCGACAGCCA
This 65-nucleotide microRNA precursor is filed under the name anatid alphaherpesvirus 1. Its description in RNAcentral is "Anatid alphaherpesvirus 1 microRNA dev-mir-D20 precursor". Its record names the gene dev-mir-D20. Lineage: Duplodnaviria; Heunggongvirae; Peploviricota; Herviviricetes; Herpesvirales; Orthoherpesviridae. The record is from miRBase by way of RNAcentral.